RNAcentral lists this long non-coding RNA (345 nucleotides) under Mustela putorius furo (domestic ferret). RNAcentral describes it as "lncRNA (ENSMPUG00000029297.1)". Lineage: Eukaryota; Metazoa; Chordata; Mammalia; Carnivora; Mustelidae. The record is from RNAcentral.
AUGGGAAGCAAGACCCUUGGCCCACUGAGGCAAGGGACCCCCACUAGGGAAUGCUCUUCGGCUCUUGAGGCAGACGUGAGAGGGCAGAGGCGCCUGGGUGGCUCAGUCGGUUACGCAUCUGCUUUCAGCUCAGGUCAUGAUCUCAGGUCCUGGGAUGGAACCCUGCAUCCGGAUCCCUGCUCAGCAGGGAAGUCUGCUUCUCCCUCUUUCUCUGACCCUCCCUGCUUGUGCUCUCUGUCUCAAAUAAAUAAAUAAAAUCUUUAAGACAAAAAAACAAAAAACAAAAAACAAAAAACUUCCCUCUUUGGAUGGUUACUUCCUCCACUGGCUCGUUUCUCCUCAGCC